Molecule: ribosomal RNA, 494 nt
Filed under: uncultured bacterium
Lineage: Bacteria
Description: partial 16S ribosomal RNA
Rfam family: Bacterial small subunit ribosomal RNA
Source: RNAcentral
GACGAACGCUGGCGGCGCGCUUAACACAUGCAAGUCGAACGGAAAGGCCUGCUUUCCCUUGUGGAUUGCGGGUACUCGAGUGGCGAACGGGUGAGUAACACGUGAGUGAUCUGCCCCCAACUUGGGUAUAAGCCUGGGAAACUGGGUCUAAUUCCCGAUAGGACUGCAGGGUGGUGCCUGUGGUGGAAAACGAUUUUCUAGUGGUUGGGGAUGAGCUCGCGGCCUAUCAGCUUGUUGGUGGGGUAAUGGCCUACCAAGGCGGCGACGGGUAGCCGGCCUGAGAGGGUGGACGGCCAAAUUGGGACUGAGAUACAGCCCAGACUCCUACGGGAGGCAGCAGUGGGGAAUAUUGCACAAUGGGCGGAAGCCUGAUGCAGCGACGCCGCGUGGGGGAUGACGGCCUUCGGGUUGUAAACUCCUUUCGACCGCGAGGAAGCCACCUGGUUGGAAGGGUGGUGACGGUAGUGGUAGAAGAAGCACCGGCUAACUACGUG